RNAcentral lists this non-coding RNA (29 nucleotides) under Mus musculus (house mouse). The record is from RNAcentral. Lineage: Eukaryota; Metazoa; Chordata; Mammalia; Rodentia; Muridae.
UAAGCCAAUAGGAGUCAGUUCCCGUUGGA